GACGAACGCUGGCGGCGUGCCUAAUACAUGCAAGUCGAACGGACUGGGGACGGGUGAGUAGCACGUGGCUAACCUGCCAUCAGAGUGGAUAACACUUAGAUACAGGUGCUAAACCGAUACUGAUUUAUCGACCCGCGGUGCAUUAGCUAGUUGGUGAGGUAAAGGCUCACCAAGGCGACGAUGCAUAGCCGACCUGAGAGGAUGAUCGGCCACACUGGGACUGAGACACGGCCCAGACUCCUACGGGAGGCAGCAGUGGGGAAUCUUCGGCAAUGGGCGAAAGUCUGACCCAGCAACGCCGCGUGAGUGAAGAAGGUUUUCGGAUCGUAAAACUCUGUUGUUAGGGAAGCGGUACCUAACCAGAAAGCAACGGCUAACUACGUGCCAGCAGCCGCGGUAAUUC
Molecule: ribosomal RNA, 403 nt
Filed under: uncultured bacterium
Lineage: Bacteria
Description: partial 16S ribosomal RNA
Rfam family: Bacterial small subunit ribosomal RNA
Source: RNAcentral